This 403-nucleotide ribosomal RNA is filed under the name uncultured bacterium. RNAcentral's name for it is "bacterial SSU rRNA". It matches the Rfam family "Bacterial small subunit ribosomal RNA", at positions 359 to 776 of the family's 1533-position model. The record is from RNAcentral.
GAAUCUUGCGCAAUGGGCGAAAGCCUGACGCAGCGACGCCGCGUGCGGGAUGAAGGCCUUCGGGUCGUAAACCGCUGUCGGGAGGGACGAAAUCAAUGACGGUACCUCCAAAGGAAGCACCGGCUAACUCUGUGCCAGCACCCGCGGUAAUACAGAGGGUGCGAGCGUUGGCCGGAAUCACUGGGCGUAAAGGGCGCGUAGGCGGCCUGAUAAGUAGGGGGUGAAAUCCUGCGGCUCAACCGCAGGGCUGCCUUCUAGACUGUCAGGCUUGAGCACAGUAGAGGCAGGUGGAAUUCCCGGUGUAGCGGUGGAAUGCGUAGAGAUCGGGAAGAACAUCGGUGGCGAAGGCGGCCUGCUGGGCUGUUGCUGACGCUGAGGCGCGACAGCGUGGGGAGCAAACAGG